CAGUCGCCGCGGGAACACAGAGGGUGCGAGCGUUAAUCGGAUUUACUGGGCGUAAAGCGUGCGUAGGCGGCUUCUUAAGUCGGAUGUGAAAUCCCUGAGCUUAACUUAGGAAUUGCAUUCGAUACUGGGAAGCUAGAGUAUGGGAGAGGAUGGUAGAAUUCCAGGUGUAGCGGUGAAAUGCGUAGAGAUCUGGAGGAAUACCGAUGGCGAAGGCAGCCAUCUGGCCUAAUACUGACGCUGAGGUAAGAAAGCAUGGGGAGCAAACAGGAUUAGAUACCCCAGUAGUCCCUGUCUCUUAUAC
RNAcentral lists this ribosomal RNA (301 nucleotides) under uncultured bacterium. RNAcentral describes it as "partial 16S ribosomal RNA". It matches the Rfam family "Bacterial small subunit ribosomal RNA", at positions 509 to 807 of the family's 1533-position model. The record is from RNAcentral.